This 431-nucleotide ribosomal RNA is filed under the name Anaplasma phagocytophilum. RNAcentral describes it as "bacterial SSU rRNA". It matches the Rfam family "Bacterial small subunit ribosomal RNA", at positions 173 to 638 of the family's 1533-position model. The record is from RNAcentral. Lineage: Bacteria; Pseudomonadati; Pseudomonadota; Alphaproteobacteria; Rickettsiales; Anaplasmataceae.
AUAAUCCCUGUGGGGGAAAGAUUUAUCGCUAUUAGAUGAGCCUAUGUUAGAUUAGCUAGUUGGUAGGGUAAAGGCCUACCAAGGCGAUGAUCUAUAGCUGGUCUGAGAGGAUGAUCAGCCACACUGGAACUGAGAUACGGUCCAGACUCCUACGGGAGGCAGCAGUGGGGAAUAUUGGACAAUGGGCGCAAGCCUGAUCCAGCUAUGCCGCGUGAGUGAGGAAGGCCUUAGGGUUGUAAAACUCUUUCAGUAGGGAAGAUAAUGACGGUACCUACUGAAGAAGUCCCGGCAAACUCCGUGCCAGCAGCCGCGGUAAUACGGAGGGGGCAAGCGUUGUUCGGAAUUAUUGGGCGUAAAGGGCAUGUAGGCGGUUCGGUAAGUUAAAGGUGAAAUGCCAGGGCUUAACCCUGGAGCUGCUUUUAAUACUGCCA